AGCAGCCGCGGUAAUUCCAGCUCCAAUAGCGUAUAUUAAAGUUGUUGCAGUUAAAAAGCUCGUAGUUGAAUUUCGGGGUUAGUAAGUUGGUCAUGCCUCCGGUAUGCACUGGCUUUACUGAUUCCUCCUUCUUGAUGAACUGUAAUGUCAUUAAUUUGGUGUUGCAGGGAAUCAGGACUGUUACUUUGAAAAAAUUAGAGUGUUUAAAGCAGGCAUACGCUUGAAUACAUUAGCAUGGAAUAAUGAAAUAGGACGUUUGAUCCUAUUUUGUUGGUUUCUAGGAUUGACGUAAUGAUUAGUAGGGAUAGUUGGGGGCAUUAGUAUUCAAUUGUCAGAGGUGAAAUUCUUGGAUUUAUUGAAGACUAACUACUGCGAAAGCAUUUGCCAAGGAUGUUUUCAUUAUCAAGAACGAAAGUUAGGGGAUCGAAGACGAUCAGAUACCGUCGUAGUCUUAACCAUAAACUAUGCCGACUAGGGAUCGGAUGAUGUUAUUUUAAUGA
This 500-nucleotide ribosomal RNA is filed under the name uncultured Glomus. RNAcentral describes it as "SSU rRNA". It matches the Rfam family "Eukaryotic small subunit ribosomal RNA", at positions 569 to 1074 of the family's 1831-position model. Lineage: Eukaryota; Fungi; Glomeromycota; Glomeromycetes; Glomerales; Glomeraceae. The record is from RNAcentral.